This 639-nucleotide long non-coding RNA is filed under the name Sus scrofa (pig). RNAcentral's name for it is "lncRNA (ENSSSCG00065002652.1)". Lineage: Eukaryota; Metazoa; Chordata; Mammalia; Artiodactyla; Suidae. The record is from RNAcentral.
CGGGUUAAGGAUCCCAAGCAGGCUGCAACUGCCGGUCAGGUUCGACCCCUGGCCCAGGAACUUCUACAUGCUGCGAUUGUGGCCAAGCGCUUUUAAAAGGGCUGUCACUCUGGGCAGUUCUAGCUUCUUCCUUCUCCCAAUCUCCUUCUCCCCGAAGCAUCCACCAGAGGACGCAGCUUCCCCCAAACUUUCCACUCUGCUUGGCUAGAGAGACUCAGUCCACGUUUUCCUGCUACUCCGGGCCCGCAGUUAAAUCACUGCAGCCCCAGACUAAGCUGUCCGUUACCAUGGGAACGGAAAGCCAUGACGUCACCAUUGUCUGGGAAAGUGGACGGCUGCCCCCCGCGCGUGUCCGAACUACCACGCCGGCGACCACGCGUGAGCACGCAGAAGGCCCAAACCUCCCACCAUACCCCUCAGAACUUUCCCCGAACUCCUCCUUGCCUCUAUCCCCAAGGAAGUCAAGUCAGUCAAAUAACGAGGCUCAGCCUGUCCCAAACCCGCCGGGGCCCCUCAGAUCACACCCGCACGCUAGAAUCCUGCUCCUGGGCCGCGGUUUCCCUCGGACCCCGCCCCGCUCCUCGGGCCCCGCCCCCCGGCAGCGCGGGCGGGAGGCGGGGCCGGGGGCGCGGCCGCCGG